ACGCUGGCGGCGUGCCUAACACAUGCAAGUCGAACGAGAUGCGUAUUGGAAAGCUUCGGCCGGAAGAUACGUUAUCUAGUGGCGGACGGGUGAGUAACACGUGGGUAACCUGCCUUAUGGAGGGGGAUAACAGAGAGAAAUCACUGCUAAUACCGCAUAAGCACACAGUACCGCAUGGUACAGGGUGAAAAGAUUUAUCGCCAUAAGAUGGACCCGCGUCUGAUUAGCCAGUUGGCAGGGUAAAAGCCUACCAAAGCAACGAUCAGUAGCCGAUCUGAGAGGAUGACCGGCCACAUUGGGACUGAGACACGGCCCAAACUCCUACGGGAGGCAGCAGUGGGGAAUAUUGCACAAUGGGGGAAACCCUGAUGCAGCGACGCCGCGUGAGUGAAGAAGUAUUUCGGUAUGUAAAGCUCUAUCAGCAGGGGAGAUAAUGACAGUACCUGACUAAGAAGCCCCGGCUAACUACGUGCCAGCAGCCGCGGUAAUACGUAGGGGGCAAGCGUUAUCCGGAUUUACUGGGUGUAAAGGGAGCGUAGACGGAAUGGCAAGUCUGAAGUGAAAUACCCGGGCUCAACCUGGGAACUGCUUUGGAAACUGUUGUUCUAGAGUGUUGGAGAGGUAAGUGGAAUUCCUGGUGUAGCGGUGAAAUGCGUAGAUAUCAGGAAGAACACCGGAGGCGAAGGCGGCUUACUGGACAAUAACUGACGUUGAGGCUCGAAAGCGUGGGGAUCAAACAGGAUCAGAUACCCUGGUAGUCCACGCUGUAAACGAUGAAUACUAGGUGUCGGGGUGCAAAGCAUCUCGGUGCCGUCGCUAACGCAAUAAGUAUUCCACCUGGGGAGUACGUUCGCAAGAAUGAAACUCAAAGGAAUUGACGGGGACCCGCACAAGCGGUGGAGCAUGUGGUUGAA
This 914-nucleotide ribosomal RNA is filed under the name uncultured bacterium. RNAcentral describes it as "bacterial SSU rRNA". It matches the Rfam family "Bacterial small subunit ribosomal RNA", at positions 33 to 949 of the family's 1533-position model. The record is from RNAcentral.